Molecule: unclassified non-coding RNA, 279 nt
Filed under: plant metagenome
Description: partial contains small subunit ribosomal RNA, internal transcribed spacer 1, and 5.8S ribosomal RNA
Source: RNAcentral
UUUCCGUAGGUGAACCUGCGGAAGGAUCAUUACUGAGUGAGGGCCCUCUGGGUCCAAUCUCCCACCCGUGUUUAUGGUACCUUGUUGCUUCGGUCAGCCCGCCUCACUGCCGCCGCGGGGCCUCUGCCCCCGGCCCCGCGAUCGCCGACGUCACCCCUGAACUCUGUCUUAAGUUUCCAGUCCGAGCGAAAACAAAAUAAGCUAAAACUUUCAACAACGGAUUUCUUUGUUUCGGGAUCGCAGAAGAACGCAGCAGCACCGAAGUGCACCCCUCUGACC